GCACCUGUCUGAUUGGUCAGAAUGGAGCUGCUCUGAUUGGUUGGUGAAGAUGUGGGUAGCGAUAUAGUUGCAUAACUCUGAUUGGAUGGUGAAAACCUCAGUCCUAUUGGUUGAAAUAGGAUUCCAGAAACUCCUUUAUAAGGGCUGGCUGAGAUAGCAGAAACACAGUGCAUGCAGGCCCUUGUGCAGUGGCA
Pipistrellus kuhlii (Kuhl's pipistrelle) is the source of this 194-nucleotide long non-coding RNA. RefSeq lists it as uncharacterized. The record is from RefSeq and is a predicted model, not a curated record. The transcript has 3 exons. Lineage: Eukaryota; Metazoa; Chordata; Mammalia; Chiroptera; Vespertilionidae.